This is a long non-coding RNA of Gekko japonicus, 492 nucleotides long. RefSeq lists it as uncharacterized. NCBI's taxonomy places the organism in Eukaryota, Metazoa, Chordata, Lepidosauria, Squamata, Gekkonidae. The transcript is spliced from 11 exons. The record is from RefSeq and is a predicted model, not a curated record.
GCCUCAGGAGAUAAAGACCAUGUUAUUUGCAAAGGCUUUUGCAACUGGCUUUGUCCUUAUGAAAGAUGGAUUUCCUGAUUCUUCAGGAUGGCUCAGUCCUGGGUGACCAAACAGGUCAUUCUGAUCCAGCUACAUUGGGAGUAAGGCUUUGAUUGAGAAGCUGAUAAGAAAAAAAAGGUGACUUCGGAAAUUUUUGGAGUUAUGUUGGGAAUAAUGGUUCUGAGUAUGGAGUUCCAAAUCUGAGUACAACUAGAAGAGGAUUCUCUCAGUAGUCUUCCUGUCAAGAGACAGAUUGCAGGGUGUUCAAUGGACAGAGGAGUGAUCUGCUUUGCAGCAUAUUGGAUUAAACUGGCUAGUGUUCUGGAAGAAGUCUUCUACUGCCUAAGGAGAACUUGAAAACUGACAACUUUAGAAGGCUUGGAGCUACAGGCCUAUCCGGAAGGGGAUGUGUGUAACCAAACACUUGAGAAGCUAAAAUCUAAUGCUAUGACA